UCUGGGAAAUGAUGAUAAGAUAUAUCGAUAUCUCAGAGGCAUAUGCAAUGCUGAACCAAAUAUUUGCACGUCAGUCUGAUCCCAGC
Molecule: small nucleolar RNA, 86 nt
Filed under: Eutrema salsugineum
Lineage: Eukaryota; Viridiplantae; Streptophyta; Magnoliopsida; Brassicales; Brassicaceae
Description: Small nucleolar RNA Z122
Rfam family: Small nucleolar RNA Z122
About the family: Z122 is a member of the C/D class of snoRNA which contain the C (UGAUGA) and D (CUGA) box motifs. Most of the members of the box C/D family function in directing site-specific 2'-O-methylation of substrate RNAs.
Source: Rfam by way of RNAcentral